GUGUUGGCAAGUUCAGCUUGUCCUUUCUAGCCACGUAGACUGAUCAUACCAUAGAUCACAGUGCUUGCGACCCAUGAGCCAAUCAGGGGUGUUGAUGAUGGUGAAUGUGAGAAGAUGCCAGAAACCAUCCACAUAUCUUGUUGAACUCAAAUGUCUCUCUGUUGAUGCUGCACAGGAAGAGAUGCAGAUGUGACCAGCAUCCAUACCUCCUGCUUACAGAUGAAAGCUAGCCUGAGAUUGAUUCACUCUCCAUGCAGAAGUGGAGGGAGGCGGUAGAACCAGCGCCUCUGCUCUGGGACUUCGUAGCGUGUGAUGGAUGACCUCCACUUAAACAAACCAAAACAGGCACGCUCAAAGGCCAGGCCGGUGCAAAAGCUGUUCAUUUUACAAAACUACUCUGCACUCCAUCGCUUCUUUCAACCCAGCAAUGACAAGUGUUGGCAGUGAUGGUGACGUUUCUGCUCUCAUUCUACUGUCAUCUGGAUCCAUGUCCAGGAGUGCAGUCAAUGGCUGUCACUCCAAGAUGGCCCCCAUCCCAGAGCGCACCUUUGGGUUGGGAAGUCCUUCGAAGAGACAAGGGAAUUGCUGGAAACAGAAGGUUCUUUCUCUGUCGGCUUCAUCUAACACUCAACCGCAUGCAUCUGCCCAAGUCUCAGCCCCAGCGCAACACACUCUUUCAUCUCAACUCUUUGGGAAAUGCUGAGUUCCCACUGCAAGCUUAGGAAAACAUACCUGUGUCUAUUCAGGUGCAGUCUGCUUCAGCAAACUUGCUCUGCCGUGUCAGGUGCCUGCCCUUGUGUUUACAGAUGGGAUCAGGCUGGUAUUAAAUGAGUCACAUGGCCCCACCCAAUCAGCUUUGCUCCAGAUAUUCGAGCGAACUCCUUAGCAUAGUGAGAGUCUACGCACAGUCUUAUUCCAAAACUAAGCAUCUAGUGAGCCUAGCUUUGACAGCUACAACUUAAUUUCCCUGAAUAAACAGAAAACAGUCCAUUAGUGUAACUUAAUUGAAUUUAUCACAAUUGACAAUAUUAAAAUUAAAAGGAAAAAAAAAAA
This 1053-nucleotide long non-coding RNA is filed under the name Mus musculus (house mouse). Its description in RNAcentral is "predicted gene, 31784". The record is from RNAcentral. Lineage: Eukaryota; Metazoa; Chordata; Mammalia; Rodentia; Muridae.